UUGGGGGUAAAUUUGUCAAUCAACAAAUAAUUUCAAAGACUAUGAAGCUUGACCAUGGAUAUUUUGGUAAAAAUGCCUUUUAUUUCAUUUGGGUUGAAUCUGAGCCGCUGAUUCACAAUAAGUUAUUAGUUAUGGAUCAAAUCUUAACCGUUGAAAUCCUCCAACAAUCUUGAUCUCCUUUUGUAUUUCCCUGAUGUUUUGCUUUCUCCUUUUUCAUACGUUUUCAUUCUUCCAGGGCUUUUAAUCGUGUCACACGUUCUCCCUUUUAUGUCUUUCGUUUUCCUUCGAUCGGUUGUCAAGAUAUGCGAAGCCCGUUACAGGUCGUGUGAGCAGAACUGAAGCAGAGCACGAACGAGGCGAAGCAGAUGAGACUGACCAGACAUUGGUGGAAUGAUCUGGGAUUUAGGGUGUUGCUUUGCAUCACCUGAGAGAGGACGAUCCAAUCCAAGUUGGAUGCAUUUUGGUUGAAAACCAGAUUUUGUGUAUCCCCUUUUUAAUCCUAAUUGAUGGUUUUGGUUCGGUCACUUUUCAUCGAAGCUGAUAGAGAAUUGGGGCUUUGAUGUCGAGGGGAUAUUGCAGUGUGUAAUUGAAGUUGGACAUGUUAAAUCAGGUGAGUUGUUCUUACCACAUCUCUCUAGCAACCUUUCUGGUCAUGCCCCUUUGUUACCCCCAUAAAAUUAAUAAAAUAGAUUUUAAAUUUAAUUUCAAAUACUCUUUUGCUAAAUGGUGAAUUAGUUUAUAUUUGCCUUCUUUUUGUAGCUCUUUCUGUAAGAGAUAAGCUUGAAUCACUGUGUACAACUAGGAGAUUGGCUAGGAUGAAAUUAAAAAGGGAUUUGUUGAAUAUCGAGCUAAGCUACAGGUUGAGUUUCAAAAGAAAGUUUCAGAUAUAAGACUAUUAUUCAAUUUGAUAAAUGCAGCUGCUAAAUUAUCCUUUUAUCUGAUUCUCACAUGAUGCAUUCUCUCAUUUCUCUUCAUGCUUUACCAAGAAUACAAAGUAACAAAGAUUUUGGAGCUUAUAAUGUCAAGCAGCUUGAACAAGAGAUUGAAGGAAAAAUCCAGUGCUUGAAAACAGAGGCUCCAAUAAUAUCGAAUGAUGUGUUAGAGGACAAAUGUGUUGUCCUUGAAAGCAAGGUAUGAUGAUAUUGACAUUGCAUGUUUUGUUUGGCGUUUGCAAACUCAAACUGUCGAUUUUAAAAAAGCUUUUUUCUAAUAGCUAUUAAAAUAAUAUUGCUAUUAUUUCUGCCUUGGCUUUUGUGUGGGUUGAAGUAUCCUUGAAUAUAUAGGUCCAUCAUUCUUGGUUAAGAAAAUAAAUCAAUUUUGUUCUUGAGAUUGUCAAUGGAACAAGAAAGAAGCUUAAUGGAAGAAGAGAGUAGCUGCCCUUGAAAGAAAGGUGGUGAUUGUCGCAAGAAAGAAGCUGAAUGGAAGAAGAGAUAAUCUGCAUUGCAUCUUGAAGUUAAGAACCUCACUGGGAUUCACCUCUGGUGAUCCAUGCCUUUCUCCGAUUCAAUGAGGAAUAUGUUGAUGUCUUAGCUGCAUCCUACCUUUCGGUUAGACCUGACUGAGAGAGAGAGAGAGGAAUAUUGUUGCGGUGGUUGUGACAAAAGAAGAAAUGGAGAUGUUUGGUGAUCUACUACCUCUCACCAUUUUACAGUGCUAGAGACCAUGUUAAUAACAAAAGCAAGGGUCAUGUUCCAGGUAAGUAGGACUGCGCCAUAUAUAUGCUUAUUGUAAGUAUCAAGCAUCAAGGGUUAGUUCAUUAAGCACAUUAUAAAUAUUAAUUUUGAAUUUAGUGUUUUAUUGCUUUUACUGCAAACUGAUGAUGAUUCUGUAAUUUUGGUUAAAAUUAUAUGUAUAACUUAUUUAUAUGCUCUCCUCAUGGAUAUCUCUUGCCAUUGAGAUCUUGACAAGGAAAAUCUUCUGGCCUACAUUAGACGGCAGUCUUUCCUCAUUUAAGUAUGAGAAAAGACAUACAAAGUAUAGGAGCAGAUCUCAUGCUGGAAGAGGAAAAAAGUUGGUUAUGAAAUCAGAUAGGUCUCAACAAGUAAGGUUGGAUGUGCUAGCCGCGAGUCUUCUGCAUAUUUUUCUAAUGCAAACCAAGGACCUGAAAUAUAAUGAGUGAUGCUUGUGAUGAGCUUAGAGCCAAAAUUCAAGCCAUGUUGGUGGCUAACUUAUAAAAGCUGCAUAGGGUUGCCCACUCUAUUGUAUUUCCUCUUUAUCCGAGAUUUGUUCUUGGAACCUAUUUCUGCUAAUAACCUUCUUCUGUCAAUUAGCAUCUAACUUUGCACACUUUUACUCCUCAUUUUUUAUCCUUCAAUCUGACAACAAUCCUUUAUUUUCAGUCAUUAUGCAUUUUAUUGUCAUCGCUUGAAAUUUACCACUUCUCCAGCCCAAUGCAGCAUCUAAUGACUGAACUGUUGACAUUAAAUCUGAGGUUGCGGUAUGUUUACAUAUAAAAUAAGCCAUAAGGCAGUGUCAAAUGUCCUCUGACUGGGGAAACAUUAGUGGCCUCCCAGGCACUGGGAACCAAAUGAAUACAAUAUGUUACCAACUAGAACCGAGCACAAUGCAGGUUGUGCCAAGAAGAAGUCAAUGGUGGAGCACACACAAGAGGAUCAUGAAGCUCACUCAUGGGAACAUCAAAUACAUUACCAAGUCAAGAGCCAAGAGAAUGUGCAGCUGCAUGUGUUUAGUGAAGCUCCAUCGUCAACCUCAUCUUCAUCUUCCUGCCACAGUCCUAUUCUUGCCAAAUUUCUCAGAUUCAAAUUACAAGCUGAGAUGAUGAAGGGUCUCAAACAAUCCUCUUUGUGACAGGAGAAUGUGAAAUCAAGCUAGCAUUAAUUUUAGAGUGAUCCAUGUUUAUUUAUCAUAAAAAAGUGAUCCAUGUUUAUGAUAUAAUAGAGACAUGUUAUUAACUUUGUGCUGUUAUGCUAUGGAGAUGAUUUGACAUUGGUGAA
This is a long non-coding RNA of Lotus japonicus, 2954 nucleotides long. RefSeq lists it as uncharacterized. The record is from RefSeq and is a predicted model, not a curated record. NCBI's taxonomy places the organism in Eukaryota, Viridiplantae, Streptophyta, Magnoliopsida, Fabales, Fabaceae. The transcript has 6 exons.